Oncorhynchus tshawytscha (Chinook salmon) is the source of this 1199-nucleotide long non-coding RNA. The record is from Ensembl. Lineage: Eukaryota; Metazoa; Chordata; Actinopteri; Salmoniformes; Salmonidae.
GAAGAGCAGAAAUGUCAACUAGCAAGCAAGUCACAGUAACGAGGAACGCGAAGGGGGAAUUCUGGCAGAGGGGAGAUUUUCGAGACAACACCUGUGCAGAAGCAAAGGCUACGUAUGUAUUACAGGCUAAUAUAGUUGUGUAUGGCAGUCCAGACGGCAGCAUCAAGCUUGGCUUUGUAUUUGUAUCCAUUCCAUGCAGGUAUGUUGUGAAAUGUGACUAUUUGAUAUGUAAUGUUUAAUGUGCUAAUUAGUUAGCUGUUGUUAAUUUUGUUACUUGUCUAGACAUGUCAAAAUGGCGUUGUUGCCUCAUUAGUAUACCUCAGGUACAAUAGUACACUAAGAAAUAUUUAGCAUUUAUUAGCGAAUUAUUUCUGUAUAACAUUUAUAAAACGAAAUGAGUCUUUUGAAAAUAUGAACAUGUACAUUUUGUACAAUGCAUUUUUAGUUGUUGACGUGAGUUAGCUCAGAGCGUGAUGAAGAGAGGCUAAUAUAGUUGUGUUUGGGAGUCCAGACAGCAGCACCAACCUUUGUCUUGUAAUUGUAUCCAUUCCAUGCAGUCACUAAAAGAGACAACCGGCAGAAUUGUGUCCAGAGACUUGUCUUCCACCUACACCUCACCAGAACACAACGCAGAAAGGGGGUGAUACCAGAACAGUGAGAAUCUAUACAUCGACGGAGGGUGGACUCCAAGAAGCGCCAAGAGGCAGGGACCCGCCUGCGAUAGGCUGAGCAAGUCUAAACCACACUCAGCCUCUACUGUGAUAGGCCAACAGACGGGUUGGAACUAUGUCUAUCACAGUAUAUGAACAGCUGUUUCCUUAUAUCCUGUCAGUUCCCUGUUCUGCCCUGCGUGGUAUUACAGUGAGCCCGUAUAUACGAAAGUUGCAUUUGCCAUUUAUUGCUUAGCUAAUAAAAGUACAUAGAGUACAAUCAGUGACUCAGUGUUAUAACUUGUUCUGAUACCAGAUUCGAAUUGACGCAACCCUAACACACUCGUUCUAGUUCUCUAGUCGCUCUCUUUACCAUUUCCCUCUCUGCUGUUUCUCUCAGUCUAGUUCUCUAGUCGCUCUCUUUACCAUUUCCCUCUCUGCUGUUUCUCUCGUUCUAGUUCUCUAGUCGCUCUCUUUACCAUUUCCCUCUCUGCUGUUUCUCUCAUUCUAGUUCUCUAGUCGCUCUCUUUACCAUUUCCCUCUCUGCUG